This 26-nucleotide ribosomal RNA is filed under the name Trichoderma harzianum. RNAcentral's name for it is "partial 18S ribosomal RNA". Lineage: Eukaryota; Fungi; Ascomycota; Sordariomycetes; Hypocreales; Hypocreaceae. The record is from RNAcentral.
ACCCGUGAAGAAAGCGGAAGGUUCAU